GGGGGGGGGGGCUAGGAUGAAAAAUUUUGUCCUGCAUUUUUUUUUUAGCUGUAAUCUCUGUCCUGCCUUUUUAUUUUUCACUCUUAUCGGUCCUGCCUAUUUUUUUUUUUAGUUUAUCCUGACUUUUUUUUACCUAAAUUGUCGUCCUGACUUUUUUUUUUGCAAGUGUCACAUCCUGCCUUUUUUUUUACUCAAAACUCCUGUCCAGCCUAUUUUUUUCAAAUUUCAUACUUUUAUAAAUUGUGACUUGGAUGGAGAGUUGUCUCAUUGGCAAACAUACCACAUCUUCC
Molecule: long non-coding RNA, 290 nt
Filed under: Mytilus galloprovincialis (Mediterranean mussel)
Lineage: Eukaryota; Metazoa; Mollusca; Bivalvia; Mytilida; Mytilidae
Source: RNAcentral